UACGUAGGGUGCGAGCGUUGUCCGGAAUUAUUGGGCGUAAAGGGCUCGUAGGCGGUCUGUUGCGUCGGGAGUGAAAACUCAGGGCUUAACCCUGAGCCUGCUUCCGAUACGGGCAGACUAGAGGUAUGCAGGGGAGAACGGAAUUCCUGGUGUAGCGGUGAAAUGCGCAGAUAUCAGGAGGAACACCGGUGGCGAAGGCGGGUCUCUGGGCAGUAACUGACGCUGAGGAGCGAAAGCGUGGGGAGCGAACAGG
Molecule: ribosomal RNA, 253 nt
Filed under: uncultured bacterium
Lineage: Bacteria
Description: partial 16S ribosomal RNA
Rfam family: Bacterial small subunit ribosomal RNA
Source: RNAcentral